ACGGGCGGUGAGUGCAACUGACGCUGAGGCUCGAAAGUGUGGGUAUCAAACAGGAUUAGAUACCCUGGUAGUCCACACAGUAAACGAUGAAUACUCGCGGUUGGUUCGUUAGAGUCAGCUGCCAAGCGAAAGCGUUAAGUAUUCCACCUGGGGAGUACGCCGGCAACGGUGAAACUCAAAGGAAUUGACGGGGGCCCGCACAAGCGGAGGAACAUGUGGUUUAAUUCGAUGAUACGCGAGGAACCUUACCCGGGCUUGAACUGCCAGUGACUCAUGCAGAGACGCAUGUUUCUUCGGACACUGGCGGAGGUGCUGCAUGGUUGUCGUCAGCUCGUGCCGUGAGGUGUCGGCUUAAGUGCCAUAACGAGCGCAACCCUUCUCCCUGUUUGCCAUCGGGUAAUGCCGGGCACUCCAGGGACACUGCCAUCGUAAGAUGUGAGGAAGGUGGGGAUGACGUCAAAUCAGCACGGCCCUUACGUCCGGGGCUACACACGUGUUACAAUGGGCGGUACAGAAAGCAGCUACCCCGCGAGGGGAUGCCAAUCUCAAAAACCGUUCUCAGUUCGGACUGGAGUCUGCAACCCGACUCCACGAAGCUGGAUUCGCUAGUAAUCGCGCAUCAGCCAUGGCGCGGUGAAUACGUUCCCGGGCCUUGCACACACCGCCC
RNAcentral lists this ribosomal RNA (667 nucleotides) under uncultured bacterium. Its description in RNAcentral is "bacterial SSU rRNA". It matches the Rfam family "Bacterial small subunit ribosomal RNA", at positions 724 to 1395 of the family's 1533-position model. The record is from RNAcentral.